Molecule: unclassified non-coding RNA, 732 nt
Filed under: Bombus terrestris (buff-tailed bumblebee)
Lineage: Eukaryota; Metazoa; Arthropoda; Insecta; Hymenoptera; Apidae
Description: misc RNA ENSBTSG00005021621.1
Source: RNAcentral
UAAUAAUAUAUUUAUUGGAGCAAAGAAAAGAAAAAUACACGACAAAAGUAUUCUCUAUUUCAUACACGGAAAACAACUGCUCGCUUUUCGAACGGCCGCGCAUCGACUUUCGCCUCGCGACUCUACCUACUCUGUAUUCGCGCGUCCGACUUCAUCGCGGUCUAUUCGCGGCCAAGUUCAUUCGCAACCCUUUCGAACAGUGCCGGCGCAAAAGGGGGCAAGAAAGCAGAAGAAAAAUCGCCGAGGAAGAAGAAAGAAGAAAGACAGAAGGAAAAGGAUGAAAAAAGUAACAUGGAACAGGGGACAACAACACAGUGUCCGUUUCUUACGGUCGAGCAGGUCACACCGAGGACAGCCGUGCGAAGGGUUAAUCGGGAUUUGGUAACCCAAAUUUCGGAACGAAUGCCCAGCCACAAAGCGGACGAAGAGGAGAUGGGGCGUUUAUCACGUGUCGAACGCGCGACACCUCCUUUAUCUUGGGUCGACGACGCGAUGGCUUCUACAAGCUGACAGGAGAUGCAUCCUUCUGGCGGUGAGUCCCGUGAGGAUCUUCCGUUUCUCAGGCAGCACGUUACUGUUAACGCCAGCGUUACAUCGUAAACGGGAACAUGUAUUAUAUCGUAUACAGAGUGCUUACAUAUGUUCGCAAAAUUCUAUGACAAGAUAUCGAGUUUCUACAUAACAUCGACUCCACGAAAACAACAUAACGUUUCCACAGUUAUUUAUAUACCC